GUGAGGAAUAUUGGUCAAUGGGCGAGAGCCUGAACCAGCCAAAUCGCGUGGAGGAUGAAGGUAUUAUGUAUUGUAAACUCCUUUUGUCAGGGAAUAAAGUGCGUCACGUGUGGCGUUUUGUAUGUACCUGAAGAAUAAGGAUCGGCUAACUCCGUGCCAGCAGCCGCGGUAAUACGGAGGAUCCAAGCGUUAUCCGGAUUUAUUGGGUUUAAAGGGUGCGUAGGCGGGCCUUUAAGUCAGCGGUGAAAGUUCGUGGCUCAACCACGGAAUUGCCGUUGAUACUACUGGCCUGAGUGUGGACGAGGUGUGCGGAAUUCGUGGUGUAGCGGUGAAAUGCUUAGAUAUCACGAAGAACACCGAUUGCGUAGGCAGCUCACCAGACCACAACUGACGCUGAGGCACGAAGGUGCGGGGAUCAAACAGGAUUAGAUACCCUAGUAGUCC
RNAcentral lists this ribosomal RNA (444 nucleotides) under uncultured bacterium. RNAcentral's name for it is "partial 16S ribosomal RNA". It matches the Rfam family "Bacterial small subunit ribosomal RNA", at positions 354 to 796 of the family's 1533-position model. The record is from RNAcentral.